UCUUGGAUGUGACACAUGAUUGUUUGUUCUUCAUUCUUCUGCCUCACACAUAUCUGCCAGGCAAUAAAUGCUGUUUGCCUGCCCUGAAAGAUUCAAGGACUGAAGAGUUAUUGCAAGGGCUGGGCCCCAUAUGUCCAAAAGUGUAUUUUUGUUAUGAUCUAUGAUGUUUGGGGAAUUUAUCUACUGAACUAAGUCAUCUUAUUUUGAAAAGCUCAGAAAAGAUGUACCUGGAACAGUGGAAAGAUCAUUGUCUCUGAAAUCACAGGAGUGGGUUCAGACCCCUACUUUGAAUUUACUUCCCUGCCAGGCUCUCAGAUUACUCAUCUAGAAAAUAAAGGGAUUAAAAUAGAUAGCUUUUAAGUUGCCUACACAUUCUCCCUAUGUGUGUUCUUAUCCUCUUAGCUGAUUUUGACAACAUAACAUUCCUAUGAUGAAGACUAAAAUCAAGCUUCUGAAAGUGUGGCCCUUGGUCUUCAUUGUAAAUAUAUAGAAGAGAAAAACUCGCGAGAAAGAAAAUGGUCCAGAUUUUGUGAAUGGAGCAAAUACUCAGUCCAUUGAAUUCUGUGUCCUAGAUGUAGCAUAAAUUUGAGCAUCUCAACUCAAAGUUGCCAACCAUCUGGAAUUAAUACAUUUAGAAUGUAUUUUUUAAAUAAUUGAAUGUUCCAGUAUUCCAAGGAUCUCUUGCUUGCUUUCUUUAAAAAAAAGAAAAAAAAGGAAAGAAAACAAAACCCUUUUUCUAGCCAAAACUUCUCAUAGCAUCUCUAUGGUAAAACUACAAAAAGAAAAGAAAAAGAAAAUACUACUGCAAAAGAUGUAAAAAUCAGCAUUUUUUCUUCCCCCAAAUCUGAGAUUACUAUGUCUGUUUUCAUUUUCUAUAAAGUUUUAGCUAUAUUCAAGAUGCAAUACAGUAUUUUAACAUUCAUUAUAUCAUUUUAUAUUAAAGUAUAUUUACAGUAUUAAGAUUCAGUAUUCAGUAUUUAUUUCACUAUGCAUUUUGUUUAGUAAAAAAAGGUGAAGCAAGAAAAAAAAGUUUACUCCAUUGGUGCCUUACUUUGUGAUUUUAAAGAAAUCAACUUUUUUGUGUCUAUAGCAUAUUAGUAAAAAAAAAAAAAAAAAAAAAAAAAAAAGUUAGGCUUUGAUAUUUCAAACUUAAUACAAAGUAUGACAAUUUAUUUUGUUCUGUUAGUAGCACAAAUAGGGUGAUUAUUGAAAUGCCCAGUGAAAUUCACUUUUUCCUACUUUACAGUCAGGAACUGUGGAAGGGCAAAUGGUAAAUUGUUUUCAUAGCACUGCACUGUAAACAUGCACAUUUUGAUAUUUGUUCCUUAUUGAGUAGCUUAAAUGAUGGAGCCCAGUCUUUUUUACAGUGAUCUGCGCUUUUAAAAAUUAGCCAGGUAAUAAAUAAAAUCAG
This 1411-nucleotide long non-coding RNA is filed under the name Sarcophilus harrisii (Tasmanian devil). RNAcentral's name for it is "lncRNA (ENSSHAG00000032068.1)". Lineage: Eukaryota; Metazoa; Chordata; Mammalia; Dasyuromorphia; Dasyuridae. The record is from RNAcentral.